RNAcentral lists this long non-coding RNA (1189 nucleotides) under Mytilus galloprovincialis (Mediterranean mussel). The record is from RNAcentral. Lineage: Eukaryota; Metazoa; Mollusca; Bivalvia; Mytilida; Mytilidae.
AGGACAGCAAGCAGAGGUAUGUUAUGUUAAGUUGUUGUGUAUAUUUAUGCCUCUCUGUCCAUUUCCUAGGUAAAGAGACCAGGACAGCAAGCGGAGGUAUGUUAUGUAAGGUUGUGUGUAUUUUUGCCCUCUCUGCCCAUUUCCUUUGGUAAAGAACCAGGACAGCAAGCAGAGGUAUGUUAUGUUAAGGUUGGUAUAUUUAUGCCCUCUCUGCCCUUCCUUUCGUAAAGAACAGGACAGCAAGCAGAGGUAUUUAUGUUAAGGUUGUUAUGUAUAUUUAUGCUCUCUGUCCCUUUCCUUUAGGUAAAGAGACCAGGCAGCAGCAGAGGUAUGUUAUGUUAAGUUGUUUUGUAUAUUUAUGCCUCUCUGUCCCAUUUCCUUUGGUAAAGAGACGGACAGCAAGCAGAGGUAUGUUAUGUUAAGGUUGUUUUGUAUAUUUAUGCCCUCUCUGUCCAUUCCUUGGUAAAGAGACCAGGACAAGCAGAGGUAUGUUAUGUUAAGUUUGUUGUGUAUAAUUAUGCCUCUCUGUCCCAUUUCCUUUAGGUAAAGAAGUCCAGGACAUAGAAGGUAUGUUAUGUUAAGUUUGUUGUGUAUAGUUAUGCCUCUCUGUCCCAUUUCCUUUGUAAAGAGCCCAGGACAGCAAGCAGAGGUAUUUUAGUUAAGGUUGUUGUGUAUAUUUAUGCCCUCUCUGUCCCAUUUCCUUUAGGUAAAGAGUCCAGGACAGCAAGCAGAGGUAUGUUAUGUUAAGGUUGUUUUUGUAUAUUUAUGCCCUCUCUGUCCCAUUUCCUUUAGGUAAAGAGACCAGGACAGCAAGCAGAGGUAUGUUUAUGUUAAGGUUGUUGUGUAUAUUUAUGCCCUCUCUGUCCCAUUUCCUUUAGGUAGAGACCAGGACAGCAAGCAGAGGUAUGUUAUGGUAAGGUUGUUUUGUAUAUUUAUGCCCUCUCUGCCCUAUUUCCUUUAGUUAAAGAGACCAGAACAGCAAGCAGAGGUAUGUUAUGUUGAGGUUGUUGUGUACAUUUAUGCCCUCUCUGCCCAUUUCCUUUAGUAAAGAGACCAGGACAGCAAGCAGAGGUAUGUUAUGUUAAGGUUGUUGUGUAUAUUUAUGCCUCUCUGUCCCAUUUCCUUUAGGUAAAGAGACCAGGACAGCAAGCAGAGGUAUGUUAUGUUAAGGUUGUUGUGUAUAUUUAUG